CCUAAUCCUCCUUGGGUUUGUCGUAAUCCAGCUCUGUUCUGGGGAGAGAUGCUGGGUGUCUGGCCUCAGUGCAAAUGGGCAGAGGAGACCAGGUACCUGCUCUCUGGGGCUGGGACUCUGGGUCCUGGAGACAAGGAGAGCGGCCCUGAGUAUGCCAGCCCUGCGGCCCCAGGAGGCUGAACCACGGCAGGGAGAGAGGCGUGACUUCCCUCCGCUGGAUGUUACCCCCACCCCAGGGGGCUCAGAGGACUCAGGGGAGGUGGCCUGCCCUUGUGCUCUCCCAGAGGAUGAAAGAGCACGCGGCCUUAACUGAGACCCCCGUCUCACUGAGCAGGGCAACUUUGGACCAGUCAGCGAAGAGAAACUUGAAGCUACGAAGCAAACGUUUCUCACAUGUGAGUGUGCAUCAGAGUCAUCUGGAGGUCUUAGCAGAGGAGAUGGCUGGGCUCCACCCUGGAGGUUCUGAUUCAGUCAGUCUGGGUGGAACCUAAUAAUUUGCAUUUCUAAGACGUUCUCUGGUGAUGCUGAAGCUGUCUGUCCUGGGCCUGCACCGUGAGAACCACUGAUGUAGGAAGAACAGCCUGGAGCUUAGUGGAGCUCGGCCAAGUGAGCCGACCCUCCGAGCCUGCUUCUUCGUCUAUAAAAUGCCACCUUAGAGACGGGAUUUAAAGGUAAUAAUUAGAGAAAUGAUGAUGUGCAAAGCACUUCAUAAACUAGAGAACACAAUGCAUUUGUUAAUGGUUUAAUAUCCCCCAUCAGCUUUAGCUUACUCACCUAUAAUAUGAGGAUAAUAAUAGUCAUUUUUGUAAAGAUUAAGUGUGAUGAUCUAUAUAAAAGCAAUUUGUGAAAUAUAAAGAACCAUGGAUUCUUG
RNAcentral lists this long non-coding RNA (871 nucleotides) under Capra hircus (goat). RNAcentral describes it as "lncRNA (ENSCHIG00000007794.1)". The record is from RNAcentral. Lineage: Eukaryota; Metazoa; Chordata; Mammalia; Artiodactyla; Bovidae.